GAGUUUGAUCGUGGCUCAGAACGAACGCUGGCGGCGUGGAUAAGACAUGCAAGUCGAACGGGAGAGUUGCUAGCUUGCUAAUAAUUCUCUAGUGGCGCACGGGUGAGUAACACGUGAGUAACCUGCCCCCGAGAGCGGGAUAGCCCUGGGAAACUGGGAUUAAUACCGCAUAGUAUCGAAAGAUUAAAGCAGCAAUGCGCUUGGGGAUGGGCUCGCGGCCUAUUAGUUAGUUGGUGAGGUAACGGCUCACCAAGGCGAUGACGGGUAGCCGGUCUGAGAGGAUGUCCGGCCACACUGGAACUGAGACACGGUCCAGACACCUACGGGUGGCAGCAGUCGAGAAUCAUUCACAAUGGGGGAAACCCUGAUGGUGCGACGCCGCGUGGGGGAAUGAAGGUCUUCGGAUUGUAAACCCCUGUCAUGUGGGAGCAAAUUAAAAAGAUAGUACCACAAGAGGAAGAGACGGCUAACUCUGUGCCAGCAGCCGCCGCAGUAAG
RNAcentral lists this ribosomal RNA (497 nucleotides) under uncultured microorganism. RNAcentral's name for it is "bacterial SSU rRNA". It matches the Rfam family "Bacterial small subunit ribosomal RNA", at positions 9 to 527 of the family's 1533-position model. The record is from RNAcentral.